Molecule: ribosomal RNA, 499 nt
Filed under: uncultured bacterium
Lineage: Bacteria
Description: bacterial SSU rRNA
Rfam family: Bacterial small subunit ribosomal RNA
Source: RNAcentral
GACGAACGCUGGCGGCGUGGAUUAGGCAUGCAAGUCGGACGGUAGGGCUUUAUCGUAAGAUAGAGUUUGAGAGUGGCGAACGGGUGAGUAACACGUAGGAAUCUACCCUUAAGACGGGGACAACACAGGGAAACUUGUGCUAAUACCGCAUAAGACCCCACCAUGGCAUCAUGGAGAGGUCAAAGGAGAAAUUCCGGUUUGAGAUGAGCCCGCGUCUGAUUAGCUAGUUGGUGAGGUAACGGCUCACCAAGGCGACGAUCAGUAGCCGAACUGAGAGGUUGAUCGGCCACAUUGGGACUGAGACACGGCCCAGACUCCUACGGGAGGCAGCAGUGGGGAAUAUUGCACAAUGGGGGAAACCCUGAUGCAGCGACGCCGCGUGAAGGAAGAAGGCCCUCGGGUUGUAAACUUCUUUGACCAGGGACGAAGAAAGUGACGGUACCUGGAGAACAAGCCACGGCUAACUACGUGCCAGCAGCCCGCGGUAAAGAGUAGUACA